This 423-nucleotide ribosomal RNA is filed under the name uncultured Lachnospiraceae bacterium. RNAcentral's name for it is "bacterial SSU rRNA". It matches the Rfam family "Bacterial small subunit ribosomal RNA", at positions 354 to 794 of the family's 1533-position model. Lineage: Bacteria; Bacillati; Bacillota; Clostridia; Lachnospirales; Lachnospiraceae. The record is from RNAcentral.
UGGGGGAAUAUUGCACAAUGGGGGGAAACCCUGAUGCAGCGACGCCGCGUGAGCGAAGAAGUAUCUCGGUAUGUAAAGCUCUAUCAGCAGGGAAGAAAAUGACGGUACCUGACUAAGAAGCCCCGGCUAACUACGUGCCAGCAGCCGCGGUAAUACGUAGGGGGCAAGCGUUAUCCGGAUUUACUGGGUGUAAAGGGAGCGUAGACGGCAAUGCAAGUCAGCGGUCAAAGUUCCGGGCUCAACCCGGUGUCGCCGUUGAAACUGGCGUGCUCGAGUGCGUGCGAGGAAGGCGGAAUGCGUUGUGUAGCGGUGAAAUGCAUAGAUAUGACGCAGAACUCCGAUUGCGAAGGCAGCUUUCCAGCGCGCUACUGACGCUGAGGCACGAAAGCAUGGGGAUCGAACAGGAUUAGAUACCCUGGUAGU